RNAcentral lists this ribosomal RNA (280 nucleotides) under uncultured bacterium. Its description in RNAcentral is "partial 16S ribosomal RNA". It matches the Rfam family "Bacterial small subunit ribosomal RNA", at positions 338 to 623 of the family's 1533-position model. The record is from RNAcentral.
CCUACGGGAGGCAGCAGUGAGGAAUCUUGCGCAAUGGGCGAAAGCCUGACGCAGCGACGCCGCGUGGAGGAAGACGGCCUUCGGGUUGUAAACUCCUGUCAGAGGUGAAGAAUCCCCGCAAGGGGUUGACGGUAACCUCAAAGGAAGCCCCGGCUAACUACGUGCCAGCAGCCGCGGUAAUACGUAGGGGGCAAACGUUACUCGGAAUUACUGGGCGUAAAGGGUGUGUAGGUUGUUGAGUAAGUCAAAGAUGAAAUUCCGGAGCUUAACUUCGGAAUUG